This 174-nucleotide non-coding RNA is filed under the name bovine gut metagenome. RNAcentral's name for it is "Lysine riboswitch". It matches the Rfam family "Lysine riboswitch aptamer". Rfam says of the family: Riboswitches are metabolite binding domains within certain messenger RNAs that serve as precision sensors for their corresponding targets. The record is from RNAcentral.
GGAAGUAGAGGUUGCGUUGUUUAUCAGUAAUCUGACGGAUGUCCCUUAAGACAGAUGAGGUCAGAUGAAAGGAAAUGACGCCGAAGUCCUGCAGAUUUAAGGGCUGCAGCCGGCUGGGCGUAAGGUGAAGAAGUUUACGACUGUCAUCAGGAAGCUGGUGGGGCGCUACUUGAA